AACUAGGAUUAGAUACCCUAUUAUUAAAGAGCUAUAAAUUGUAAGUAAAUAUUAAUUAUGAAAGCAAAAAAUUAUGGCGGUAUUUUAAGCUUUUCAGAGGAAUUUGCUCUUUAAUGGAUAAAACACCUAAAUCUUACUUAAAUUUGUCAAUUCAAUUUGUAUACCACUAUGUAAUUAAUUAUUAACUUUAAUUAAUAAAAUUUAUAAAAAUUAAAAAAAAUUAAGUCAAGGUGCAGUAAAAAUUUAAGGAUGAAGUGAAUUACAUUUCUUUUAAGAGAUUAUAAAUUUUAAAAUUAGUUUUAGGAUUUGAAAGUAAAAUUAAAAUAAAAUGUUAAUUUGAAUCAAGCUCUAAAAUAUGUACAUAUCGCCCGUCGCUCUCAUU
RNAcentral lists this ribosomal RNA (382 nucleotides) under Rhipicephalus geigyi. RNAcentral describes it as "partial 12S ribosomal RNA". Lineage: Eukaryota; Metazoa; Arthropoda; Arachnida; Ixodida; Ixodidae. The record is from RNAcentral.